CCUACGGGAGGCAGCAGUGGGGGAUAUUGCACAAUGGAGGGAACUCUGAUGCAGCGACGCCGCGUGAGGGAAGAAGGUAUUCGGAUUGUAAACCUCUGUCUUCGGUGACGAAACGAGACGGUAGCCGAGGCGGAAGCCACGGCAAACUACGUGCCAGCAGCCGCGGUAAUACGUAGCUGGCAAGCGUUUUACGGAAUUACUGGGUGUAAAGGGAGCGUAGGCGGGAAAGCAAGUUGAAUGUUAAAGGUACGGGCUCAACCUGUACCAGCGGUCAAAACUGUUUGUCUUGAGUGGAGGAGAGGUAAGCGGAAUUCCUGGUGUAGCGGUGAAAUGCGUAGAUAUUAGGAGGAACACCAGUGGCGAAGGCAGCUUACUGGGCUUUAACUGACGCUGAGGCACGAAAGCGUGGGUAGCGAACAGGAUUAGAUACCCUGGUAGUC
Molecule: ribosomal RNA, 440 nt
Filed under: uncultured bacterium
Lineage: Bacteria
Description: partial 16S ribosomal RNA
Rfam family: Bacterial small subunit ribosomal RNA
Source: RNAcentral